Molecule: long non-coding RNA, 203 nt
Filed under: Vigna radiata
Lineage: Eukaryota; Viridiplantae; Streptophyta; Magnoliopsida; Fabales; Fabaceae
Description: long non-coding RNA (VRAD_LNC008698)
Source: RNAcentral
UUGUAGGCAAGGACGUGUAUUGCAGCUUCUGAUGUCCAAAAUGGGUCCAUCUUAUUUCAAGUGCUUUUUAUAUAUGUUGGGCAUGUGUUGCACUAAGUCAUUCAAUCAACCCAUGAUGUGUUACUGCAAUAAAAUGAAAUAGCGUGUGUUGCUUUCUUUAAACUUGAAACCAGCCUUCUUCAUGGAUGUGUGGAUGAACGGCC